GCUGCGUGGUGUGGGCUGUGCAAAGCAGAGAGGGAGGGAGUCAUUAGAGACACCUGUCUGUUUACAAGGAAACCGCUCUUAUAUGGUUAUAGUUUAUAGCUUACUAAAUUUUUUUUAACCAACCAUUUUCCCAAUCUAGAAAGACCCCUUAUAGCCCACUGCAUCCAUUUAGCCAUUCCCUGAGAUUCAUUUUCGAAUCCUUCGAAUGACACAGCAUCGAUAAAAUACUGUAGGCAAAAUAUAUAAAUGAACAAAUAUAUAUGCAAAGUAAUAAUGUAAAUACAAUUCAAUUUAAUGAGAAUUUCGGCAAGAUUCUGAUCAAUAACAUAACCACCGAGGUAAAUUACAGCUACUUUAAAAACAAAGGCAAGUCAGUAGUGAGACGGAAAACUGAAAGAAAAGUACUAAAAUACGGACAACAAGCCGGCGUCCUUAAAAUGGGGGUUUCUGACGGUGCAACAAAUGUGAUUUGGCUUCAUGGUAACUAGAGUAAAUAAUAAUAGAAAAUAACAACAACAGCGCAGUAACAACAAGAGCUGCAACAACAACUAGAAUAUUAAUAAAUAAAUGAAUAAAUAAUAAUAAUAAUAAUAAUAAUAAUAAUAAUAAUAAAUGUAAAGCCAUUUAAUUUUGGCUGCUUCACUCUUGUAUUUUCCCUUCGUGUUGAUACUAAUUAAUUGAAAUGAAAGGCUUGAAAGUAACGUUUUAUUUUCUUUUUUGGCGAACCAGUUUGAUGGUUCUUUGUUUUCUUUACAAUUCGCGCUGCAGUGUACUUAACAUGUUUCAAUGUAACUCAUAGCUCACUUAGAAAGCAUGGGCUCUAUCCAAGGAAGAAUUCCCAUGGUAUCGACUUUUGACACGAAAGAACUGUGGAUCGGGAGAUGGACGGAGAGGGUCGUCCGUCUUAAAAUAGAUUUUUAUCCCCCCCCCUCCCCCAACCCAUCCACCCAAUGUCUUUUCGGAUCAGCGCCUUUCAAUGGACACAGGGUACUUCCUCAUCCAAAAAAGUAUGUAAGGCGUUUUCUGCCUCAGCUGAUUCUAAAAAAGGUUUGUUCAAAUAAAACUCUUCAAAGAAAUGGACAAUUAGUGGUGCGUCGAUAGAGAGGUGUGUGUUGUGCUAUAGAGUUCAACAAGAUAAGAUUGGAAUGAGGAAGUAUAUAUGACAGCAGCAGCAACAUAAUUAAUAAAUUAAUAACGUACACAAUGAAAUGUUCAGUGUUACAUGAAGGUUUGCAGAUUUGAAUGAACACUGGGCAUUUUACAGUUAGUAUGGCGAGGUAUUGCUGCAAAGGAAAAGGGCACUUUCUUACAAGGAAGGAAAGGCAAGACAUACAAUUGUCUUAAUUCAAGCCAAAGUAUUGCAGCUAAAUAAUGAUGGCUAACAGUCUACAUCAGGGCUGAUCAACCCUUUUCCGCGAGAUAUGCCGUCCUGUAGGUUUUCAUUUCAACCCUAAUUUGACACACGUGAUUCUAAUGAGCAGCUCAAUGAGAUUUCUAGCUGUUGAAUGAGGUGUAUUUUAUUAGAGUUGGAGCGAAAACCUAUAGGACGUUAGAUUUCCAGAGCAUGGUUGGGCAGCCCUGGCCUAUAUUAAUAGUGAGGGAUGAUCCGUUAUAAUGUAGAAAAUGUAUAUCCUAUCCAUUUUUGAACACUCGUAAUGAUGAAAUGCCCAUUCACAUACAUAAUACCUGUAAGAAGAGCUCAGCGAGACUCCAUACACAAUAGCUGACCCCCCAUAGGGAUCUCCAUCGAUUAGGAGGAGAGUUGGGGAUGUCAUCACACUAAAUAUUUACUGAUCACACAAAAAUGGUUGGAACUUUAACGAUUUUCCCUGUUCAGAGUAGAGAAAGGGGUAAAACACUUUAUUAUUGUUUGUAAAGCAAAGAGCUCCCUCCCAGGCAGGGUGCGUUGGGAUGUGUCCUCACCGGGAUAAGAGGAGUUAGACGGAUCGAUAGGCAGUGAUUAGGAGAGACGAGUUGUUGAGAACCACUGUGCCCUGGGAAAAGGAAGGAACUUCACACGCUGAGUAGGCUCAGUCGAAGUGCCGGGAAAAGGGACUGAGCGAAAUAAAAUAAAAACAUCAUAAAAACAGUACAACUGAACAAUCAAAAUAGUACAACUAAACAAUCAAGGCCUUGUGUGAGAUAUGGUUAUUUAGAAGUAUAAAAAUUAAGAAAAAAACAGAAGUAGGCCUGUACAAAUAAAGGAAACUACUCAAGUACUGAAGAAGCCAUUUCGCUUCACAAAUAUUUCCACCACUUUAGGCAUGUUGCGUUGUUCCGCGCCUGACACUGCGCAUUUAUAUCUUAUAUCGCAGGUGAAGAGGCGGUCUUGCUCCAUCUUAUUUAGAUUAAAUUUAAAUUUUUAAAGGAUACGGACUCUCCCCCUGAACCGAAACUCCAUAUCGAUUGGGUGUAGAUGUGCGAGUGAGCAUCCAGGUGUUAAAGGCGAAGAGACGAAAGUUCACUCUAAUCUUAUCUCCGCUGUCACCUCGGUCUUGCGAGCGGUGGAUGCGAGGGACUCCGACCUCAGGGGUCGCUGAGAUCCUGGCCCGAUUAACCCUUCCAGGCCUUGCGCAGAGCAAAGGUUAACCAGGCUAAUCAACUUUGAGGAGCUAAUUGAGUCAAAAGACGCGAAAAAUAGUCAAGAGAAAGAUAAAUGUAAUUGUCUUUCCUACAGAGAGCACUGCGUUAAUGGAUUUGAUUCAGUUAAGUGGUCAUAUAAAUCUGGCUACCUUUUUAUAUCUAGAAUGCAACGACUGUCCUUCUUCUCAGUACAUAUAUUAAAAUAGGCCUAUGUGUUGUGCCAUGCAUUAUUCGAACAUGCUUGGAAGCUGCAAGCAAUCUUGAGCUUCGUGUUAAUCUUAAAUAGAGGAUACAUUUAUAUUAACUGCAAAUAGCCUACAUUUGUUGAAAAAAGGUGCCGGUGCAGUCUAAGCACGACUUUAAACGCAUUAAAUACUCCACUUACACUUAAAAACUAAAAACAAUUUACUUGCAUGCUUUAUUCACAUAAAAGCUGACCUAAAGUGGGCUAUAACUGAUAUUUACCAUUUAUACUUUAAUUGAGGUAAAACAUUUUAAUAUGCUCUUAAUAUGAUGUAUUUAUGGAAUGAUACAUUUUCUAUCAUACUGCUAUUACUGCUAUUGUCACGGAUACUACUAAUAAUUAAUAAAUAAGUAGCCUAGUCCGCAUAAUACAUGCAUACAAUGUGAGUAAUUCGAGAUUAGGCAGGUCUUAUUCCUGGACCAAAAUGUGUAAACAUUAUUUUAAAAAAUCAACAUUAGUAACUAAUCUAAUUAUAUUGUCACUACAUAUUUGUAUAUUCAAAUGGAUUUCACCGCUUUUUAAGUAGCCGACCCAGUAGCUAAUCGUGACAAUGGCGUUUUAAACUGCGCGCUAUUUGCAUUACAUUCUGAUGCAAAGUAUACUCAAAUGGACAGCUGCUUCCUAAAAGAAAUUCCUUUGUGCAAUUGCAGGGGUUUUGGUUUUCUACAUAUGGAAGUUCCCGUCAAAUUGAAUGGAAGUAAUAAUAAGAAUAAGUAAACAAAUAAAGAAACAACUUAUUACAUACUUAAAUGCACUGCUCAAGGUUAAAGACAAAAAUAAAAAUGGUGGGCUUCUAUCUGAAUGAUUUCAAUUAAAGAUCGAUGAAAUAGAUGUGUUAAAGUAUAAACCUCACUGCAGAUUGAACGGAGACGUGAAUCUUCAAACCAGUUUGUGAGUAGUCGAUACAGUCACCUUUGUUUUUUUAGUACGUUCAAUGUAUUCUCAUACUCGAGCACAGCAUCUCUGUUACCGGUUGGAGAAUGAGAUGAAACGACUGAAAGCGGAGGAGGUGGAGCCCAGAAUUAUGGAAUGGCAAACCGCUUUCAAAGUAGCUUUCUCCAUGUCUCCGGUUCAUCAUACGUCACACAUUUCGAAUAUAAUAUAGCUAGUAGGGCCUAAUAGCUCCUCUGUUGAUUACUACGUGCGCGAGAAAACUGCUUCCGCAGUCUUCUGAUGGAUCUCCAGAUUAUAUGGAUUCUGAUCUAAUACAUUGACGGACCGGUGUGUCAUUCACAGUUCGAAGUUAAACCGUCACUUGUAUUCAGUCUAGCGGAAUUUAUGAUUCUGAUACCAGCACGGUACAGAACAUUGAUGUAGGCUACAAUUUCGAUUGAAAGCAAGCAGGAAUUUGAUCGAUCAACAAAUAAUGAAAGUUUAUAAAUACAUUGGUAAACACAUUAGUGGAAAAGCUGAAAAUGGAGAAGAGAGCAGAGUUUGAUUACAAAGUGUUUUCAAUUCAAAUGAUAAAGUAAUUGUGGAAACAAUACUCAAACGUGCUUAUCUCAUAGCAGAGGACUUCACUCAAACCAACUGCAAUGCAAAAACGAAAGUAAAAAUGUAAAAAAUCAUAUAUGACGUAUUUUCCCUUUUCAUCACUGUUAAUUUCAGAUUAAAAGAUUACAUGGUUUACCUAACAUAUUGAAUUGCCUUGUUCCCUUUAGGCAAAGUAUACUCACCAACAUCACUUCUAAUUUCAAGGAACUGAAGCAGAUAAUUUUUAUGAAAGUUAUAUAAAUUUGUAACAUAUAUUGUAACUUCAGAGUAGUGGUAGGUGAACAUCCCACUGUAGAAUGCAACCUGUUUAAACUGGAAUUACAUUUGUGAAAUGUGGGUACUGGGCCAGUAUGUUGGAUCACCAUAAGACAAUGAAUAUAUAAAAUGAAAAUGUGUUGCAAAUGUGCAUGUGAUCACUAAUUAUUGUAUUCACAUUAUCACUGAGGUCUCACCUCAUAAACCACUCGACCAGGUUACACGAGAAGCAUUACAUGUUGCACUGCGUUUACUUUAAGCAAUGGUCAAAAUGGAAUGGUUAAAAAAUCAUUGAGAUUGACCCUGAAAUAUUACAAAUAUCUGUAUUAAAUUGAUUAAAUAAACACUUCAAAAUAUAGUGCUUUCUCAUAAUUUGAAAAUAAACGCAUUAUGUAAUUUCGCAUUAUUAUUAUUAUUAUUAUUAUUAUUAUUAUUAUUAUAGGCCUAUAUUUAGUUCAUGAAUCUGUACGUAAGUGGAAAUAGAAGUAUUCCCAGUUCAUAUGUGUAACAUGAGAUGUGUAUUACUGAUUGAUAUUUUAGAUACAAUUUUUUAUUAAGCUAAGAAUGGAUGCCGAAAGUGAAUCAACACCCACGAGCCAUGGAGAGUCCACACAAAGCCAGUGCUAAACAAAAGUGCCUGUGUGUAUUUGAGCAUGAAGUGAUGUUUGCUAGAAUGGACAAUUUGUUGAUACUUGGAAUUUCUCCUUCCAUCACACUGUUUAAUGUGUUUCAAUUUUCUAUUUAAUAAUCCUUAGAAAAGACCUGUUUUGAAAUCACAUUAAAAGUAGAAUUAUUUAAUUGCUUUUUUGUAAAAUUGUCAAAUGACUGAUGAUAUUAAGCCUUCAUUAAACCUACAAUAUCUGAAUGAGGCAAGCUCUUAGUGAUUAUUCAAUUCUGAUUUAUUUUCUUGAAGAUUAAAACCACACACCACUCAAUAUGACACUCAAAUACAUGCUGCUAUGUAUUUAUUAUUUUAUUCUCACUUCAGAGCUCUGCACAGCAAUGUGCAUGUACACAAAUGCACAUACAGAAACUCAAAUGCACACACAUGCACAUACUCACAGAUGCACUCAUAUCAGUCUCUCUCUCUCUUUCUCUCUCUCUCUCUGGUUAAAAGCACACACACACACACACACAUGCACACACGCACACACACACACAUACACACACACACGCGCACACACAUGCACACACGUAAACAUACACAGACACACACAAACACACACACAACACACGUACACACACACACACACACACACCACACACGCACACACUCAGACACACACACGCACACAGAGUUGUAUGCAUGAGCCGUGUUCCAGAAUGUAAAACAAUUGGAUGAAAUCCAGCUCUGCUGCAGCCCAGCCUUGAAAUAUUUAAACAAAUGUUCCCCCCUUUCAUUAAUUAACCACGCAUUUGUUUUUAUUUAAUCAAGAACACAUAAUGAUGUUCCACAAGUGGCUAGCAAAGUAGGAUACAUAGGUUAAUACCUAUAAGUGAGAGGUGUAUUUAUUAAGCAUUGUGUGUUAUAUUUUUGAGGCCAAUCGAUCAUUUACAGCUGAAGGCCUCUUACAUGAAGUUGUUGGGUUGUUCACAUGCACACACACACUCACACACAAACACACACACACACACACACACACUCAUGCACACACGCAUGCACACACACACACUCAAUACAACUUAUCAUUAUUAUUUUUCUUUGUCAAUUUAGGUGUAAUACAACACAUGGAGAAUGAAAAGUCUUUUGAUAAUCAUAUGAAGAGAAAUAAGGAGAGAACCAUUUAAUUGAUCAAUUAAAGCAGUUCAUUACACAGAUGAACUCACCCGGUUUCUUGGGUCUUAAUCGGUUGCUGAUUUUAUGGUGAAAAGCAAAAACCAGCCACCCUGCAGGUCUCCGAAGGUCAGAGUUAAUAUCACUGGUCUGAUAGAUGGACAUGUGACUAGACGUUCAGGACAAUAGCUGUUUCAAACUUAUGGAGAAGCAAAGAAAUGGAAUUUGGAUGGACUUCACUUGAGAUGACAGCAAAGGACACAAGGUAGACCAGGAUACUGACAGCUGCAUAUAUAUGCUGGACACCUGAACACCUAUAUAUUCUGCAUGGUUCUCACAGAGCCACAUUCAACCCAGUAGUGCUGAUACAAUUUGAUGUUGAAAAUUUACCAGGACAGUGUGGUGUAAGCAAGCACUACAUUUAGCAACUGGCAACAUUUAAAUUGGGAUGAACCAGAAUGAAACAAAUUGAUGGUUUAAGUAGAAUCACUAUAAAGACCUUGCAGAUGUGCUAGGUUACUUUAUUUUCUUUUUUGCCUUUAAUUUAUUUCAAAUUUCACGGUUUGGUCUAUUUACUCCCCAAAAACAGGGUUCUAGCAAAAAUGUUACCGCUAAGCAGAACUGUAGUUGUAGCAAUAAUUUUGUAAUGAUUCACUGACUUGAUGUGUCUGUUUUCCUAUGUUUUCUGUUUUCUUGGCAGAGUGAAGUUUCAGGAACCCUUGUCAGUGUAGUAUAAUGGUUAUGGAAAUGGGCUUGUGAACGCAUAGCUUGCCAGUCCACUUCUCGGCUGGCACUCUGUCAUGGUUAUCCUUGAGGAAAGUACUUAACCUGAAUUGUUUAGUUAGAAAUAUCCAGCUGUCUGAAAGUAAUAUGUAAAGAUGAAAGGUGUCUGUAAAUCACUCUGGAUAAGAGCAUCUACUUAAUGCUGAAAUGUAAUUUCACUCUUUGAUUGAACCAAUCACAAAGAUAUUGCUCUCCACAGCAAAUAAAUAUUAUUGGUGAAACAAGUAAGACAGUUAUGCCACUUGCUUGCUCGGCCCUGUUUUUGAUUUGAAGUCUCAUUCUCCCAUCAUGACUUGUCAACUGUUUAUACCUGAUCUAUCCUUCUCCCCCCACCCUCAGGUGCUUGAUCUGGGAAGAUGAACAAUAUAUUAUUGUUGGAACGUGAAGAUAGACAAGUGUUAUAACAAAUAUUAAUAGGCAAAAUAAAAGUAAUAAUAUACAAAUCUGUACUAUGAUGUGUGUCUACUUUUGAAGAACUUGAAAAAGCUUCACUGAUAUAAUGAGAUAUUUAGCAAUUAUAUUUAGUGAAGUCAAGAUAUGAUAUGUAAUCUGUGAUCCUACUCCCUUUCUCUAUUUUCAAGAGGAAGGGUACAAGGGAGAGAAAGAGAGAAUGUGAGUUUGUACAUACUUGCAUGGAUGUGUGUGUGUAUUUCUGUAUAUAUGUAUGUGCGUGGCGUGCAUUCGUAUGUGAAUUUAUGCAUGGGUUGUGUGUGUGUGUGUGCAUGUGUGUGAGCAUGUUUGUGUGCUUGUGUGUGUGUGUGCAUAUGUGUGAGUGAGUUUGUGUGCGUGUGUGCGUUUGUGUGCAUGUGUGUGUGUGCGUUUGUGUGCGUGUGUGUGUGAGCAUGUGUGUGUGCUUGUGUGCGUGUGUGUGAGUUAGUUUGUGUGCAUGUGUGUGUGAGUGCGUUUGUGUGCAUGAGCACGUGUGUGCGUGUGUGCAUGUGUGUGUGUGAAUGCGUUUGUGUGUGUGUGUGUGAGCAUGUGUGUGCGCUUGUGUGUGUGUGUGGCAGUACGUUUGUGUGCAUGUGUGUGAGCAUGUGUGGGUGCAUUUGCUUGUGUGUGUGUGUGUGUGUGUGUGUGUGUGUGAGUGCAUUUGCAUGUGUGUGUGUGUGUGUGAGUGAGUGCAUUUGCGCGUGUAAGAGAGAGUGCAUAUGAGUGUGAGAGUGUGUGUGUUGUUCAUUCAGUGGUAUACAUUACUCUCCUCCCCUCAGUCUGAGUGCUUGCCCUGAGGGCCAAUCUCUGAAGGCAUUAAAUGUGAGAUAGCUUACAGUGUUCGAUUCACCCAUGAUGGAUUACGGUGUCAAUUUAAAAGGGGAAGGAUUAAUUUGUCUCAAUGAUUUUGCUGCACACUGAAAGCCAGGCCCCUUUUUCUGUCCACGUCUUCUACAUUUCUUUUCAAAUUUUAAAUGCACUUUAAAGUCACCAUAAUGGGAGGUGACAGAGAGGGUGUCGAGUUCUCCCAGUGUUACUCUAUCAUGUCUUCACCACAGGUACUUUUUUUAAAGGAAUGAUGGGUCCAGAUUUAUCCAUUAAAAUGAAACAGAAUCCAGAACACAUCCAGUCAUAUUUGGGUUCAGACUAUACGUCACUCACUGUACACACUAUGACUGGUACAUAUCUAAAAAAAAAAUAACAUCAAUGAAAGGAAACUAAUACUAACAGGGUUGGGGAUAAUUUCAUUUCAAUUUAGACAUUUCAGGAAACUAAUUGAAAUUUAAUGAAUCAUCAAAACAAGUCCUCUAAUAUUAUUGAAAUUUUCGAGUUAAUCAAUUGAAUUUAAAUGUAAUUUUUGAAUUUAUUAUAUUAAAAUGAAGUUGACCUCAAUUCUGAAUACUAACCAAACAGACUAGCAGUGGGUUUAUUAAGAGGUGAGAAUCAUAAUGUUUCAAUUCAUUCAUAUAACAUAUAAUAAAACUCACGAAUGAACCACAAAGGAAUGGGUUAGAUAUGAUAUUGUAAACAACUCUGAAGCUAAUCAGAGAUAGGCUGUAAUAUAAUGAAUUCAUAUAUGUGGAUUAAUUCAAGGUGUACACAUUGAUUUAGAUUUACCAGUGGAUAUCACACUUCUUAAAAUGUUAAAAUAUGUAUUAUUCUGUUUAUCAGAAUAAUAUAAAUGCCAUAUAAACGCAUGGAAAAUAUGUUUCAGUUAAAAGGGCAUUACAAGAAAACUUUGAGAAAAGUUGUCAACAACUUCUGCUGCAAAAUCUGCACCUGCACAGCAAAAUAAAAUGCUUAUGUUAAAUAACUCUGUGUCCUGUGGAGAUAAAAUGUGCUUUAUCACAGUGCACUAAGCAUUGGACCUUCUAUUGAUCUAAAUCAAUAGCUUUGAUAUGUCAGAUGGUUGAAAUAUUAUUUCUAUAUUUACUUUAUGAAAGUUAUUUUGACAUACAUGACUUUAACUAAAAGUAGUUCGAAAACAUAUAUAGAAACAGUUUAUCAACAGGGCUGGGGUAGUAGGUUUGCAUUGGCCCUGCUUAGUGUAGAUAUGGGAAUCUAUAGGAAUAGGAAUAGGAAUUCACAAUAUAACUAUUACACACAUACAGUAAUUAGAUCAUAGAUUGAUUAAUCUCAGUGCUGUCUUUAAUGGAAAUUUGUGUUUUAUUGAUCUGUUGAGCAGGCACAGUGUCUGAGGACAUUGAACACAUUGUGCAAAACCAGAUUGGGGAAUGUGCCAGAACAGAGCCAGGACAAAAGAAAGAAAGAAAGAGAAAUAAAGAGUAAGAAAGAAAGAGUUCAAUGGUCAGAUUGUUGGGAUGAAGGCUUCAUCUGUGUCAUGAAAAGAGAAGGAAAGGACAGACUGUAAAAAUCUCAAAAAAAGAGAAGAUAGGAGGAGUGUCCUGUAUUAGCUUGUCAAAUCUGUUCUCUGAUCAGGGAUUCGGGGGUGGGGUGUCACACCAUCUCAUAGUCACUAAUUUACUUGUUUGCUUGCAUGGAAAGUAACAGUGAACACAGAGGAACUGGCUGUCCACAAAUGUCAAACACAAAAUCAAUCAAAAGAAACCCAUAUUGUUUACGCCAUUGACCUACCUUUCCAUGUAGACAGUAAAAUGGUCGUUAAUGCAAUGUUAAUGCAACUCACACAAUUUGUAUGGGCCCAAAAUAAAUAAAAUGGGCUCUGCCAAAGGUAAAAUGUACCCAACAGCGUAUUCAACACUGGAGUAUGUUUGUUUGAGUAUGUUGCAUUUAAUUUAAAAGCUUUCUUUACCGCCAGACUUCUCUUACAUUUACAGGGACUCGUUUCAUCCUGAAAUGCUGGCAGAGUUUUGUGGUAUGGAGACGGGUCUCUGUCAGCAUAGAGAUGCCUUCCCUGGAGGUCAGCCUGUUGAGGCAGGCAUUAGGUGUCACACAGCAAGGAUGCUGCCACCUAUUGAAGUCUGUCUGAAGAAGAUUAAUACGACAUGCCAGCUUUCGGAAAGCACUCCUUUUGCUGAAUAUCUAUCCUCUGACACAAGACAGAUCAUAGGCAAACACUUUGUUAUAUACCUGUUGUGGACAAUGCAUUCAACCCAGAAUUUUUAAUGAUCCCUGUGGAAAUGUUUGCAAGAAAGAAAUAUGCAAUAGGCAAAUAUAUGCAACUAACAACAGAAAAAAUUGUUUUUGAAUAUGACCGAAUGGUGUGAGAAGAAUUUUAACAAGGCUUGAUCUGAUGAUUUGAUAAAGUUAUAAAUCAAGCUUAUUUCUUAUUAAAUAUCUACAAACUCACAUUGGCAGGUUUGCAUUGCUCAGUAAUAGUUUGUUGGGUGGUCCAAACCAAAGCACCUACACUAAAACACAGACAAACACAGAUACACACACACACACUGUUUCCAGGACUGGAAUAAGCAAGCAAGCAGGUGGGACCAUCUUACAUUGGUAACGUUUUUAACAUACCUGACCAGGUUUUUAACAAAAAAAAAACAAAAAAAUCUGCUCUGGAUUCUGUAUUCAUGUUAUGGUAGAGCAUGAAUGUUAUGGCAGAGCAUUAUUUUGCUCAAAUUGUGGAAUUCUGUUUUGCCUGUAAAGGAACUGUGCUGCAAAUUAACUGCUUUCAAAUAUUUUCCAAAAUGAGGUAUGAUUGUAGAUAGUGGUUUAUGUUCAAAAAGUUAAGUAUUACCACAUAGAAAGACUUACUGAAUUGGGGGCUCAUUAACUCGAAAGAGUAAAAAUAUCACCAUUGCAUUAUUGUGUAAAAAGGUGCAUCCCUCAUUUUACUAAAUAUUUUAAUAACUAAAACAUUAUUGUAUUUUAACACAACAUUAUUUUGUUUCUGUUAAAAAAUAUGCAUUAAAGCAAAUUGAGUCAUCUUA
Molecule: long non-coding RNA, 11416 nt
Organism: Anguilla rostrata (American eel)
Lineage: Eukaryota; Metazoa; Chordata; Actinopteri; Anguilliformes; Anguillidae
Exons: 2
Source: RefSeq, a predicted model, not a curated record